AUAGUUACCUGGCAUGGGAGAUACUACAAUCCCCACAAAGGUGGUUUUCCCAAGGCAAAGCGUAUCCCUUUCACCCUGGAUGUGUUCAUCCAGGGAUUUCCCCACAUGCAAGAAACAAGGCUGCAUAAUUUGUGGUAGUGAGGGAUGGUGUUCACACUCUGUCCUGG
This is a small nuclear RNA of Mastomys coucha (southern multimammate mouse), 167 nucleotides long. RefSeq annotates it as U1 spliceosomal RNA. The transcript has a single exon. NCBI's taxonomy places the organism in Eukaryota, Metazoa, Chordata, Mammalia, Rodentia, Muridae. The record is from RefSeq and is a predicted model, not a curated record.